Molecule: non-coding RNA, 73 nt
Organism: Ameiurus melas (black bullhead)
Lineage: Eukaryota; Metazoa; Chordata; Actinopteri; Siluriformes; Ictaluridae
Source: the annotation of a GenBank genome assembly
GUAGUGGUAGCUCAAUGGUUAAGGCUCUGGGUUAAUGAUCAGAAGGUCUGAGGUUCAAGUCCCAGCAAGUCCA